ACUCUGGGACAAGCCCUGGAAACGGGGUCUAAUACCGGAUAACACUCUGUCCUGCAUGGGACGGGGUUAAAAGCUCCGGCGGUGAAGGAUGAGCCCGCGGCCUAUCAGCUUGUUGGUGGGGUAAUGGCCUACCAAGGCGACGACGGGUAGCCGGCCUGAGAGGGCGACCGGCCACACUGGGACUGAGACACGGCCCAGACUCCUACGGGAGGCAGCAGUGGGGAAAUUGCACAAUGGGCGAAAGCCUGAUGCAGCGACGCCGCGUGAGGGAUGACGGCCUUCGGGUUGUAAACCUCUUUCAGCAGGGAAGAAGCG
RNAcentral lists this ribosomal RNA (315 nucleotides) under Streptomyces sp. RNAcentral describes it as "bacterial SSU rRNA". It matches the Rfam family "Bacterial small subunit ribosomal RNA", at positions 135 to 452 of the family's 1533-position model. The record is from RNAcentral. Lineage: Bacteria; Bacillati; Actinomycetota; Actinomycetes; Kitasatosporales; Streptomycetaceae.